Long non-coding RNA from Magnolia sinica, 660 nucleotides. RefSeq lists it as uncharacterized. The record is from RefSeq and is a predicted model, not a curated record. Lineage: Eukaryota; Viridiplantae; Streptophyta; Magnoliopsida; Magnoliales; Magnoliaceae. The transcript has 4 exons.
UUCAGCCCUAGGGAAUAUGCAAAUUGGAGUCAUAGUAGGAAAAGAGUAUCUUGGAGAAUUGAGGAACUUAUGUUGAACAACGCAUUCUCGGAGCACAUGCGCAAUGUGGUGGCUAUUCUCGAGCCUACGUAUGUAAUGUUGAGGACGGUCGAUAAUGAGACAUCCAUCGAUGGGAUCGUUGUAUGCGUUUAUACAGUAGAUGAAAGAUGUCAUCCAAGCUAAAGCACCCGAGGCAUAUAAAUGGGUGCAUACAAUAAUCGACGAUCGUUUGAAAAAAGACUCUUUCUUACCAACUUCAUCAGGCAGGUUUAAGCAUACUUCCCGAAUCCCAAGUACCAAUACAGCCAGAAAGUCUACGAAGAUAAUACAUUGAAGAACGUUGUACAUGAUGUGUAUAUUAAGUUAUUCCCCCACUCUUCGGAGAAACGCGCCUUUGGUAAUGAGAUUAUCAGAUUCCGCGAUACUGUUGGGAUAUUCAGAUGUGAGGCCGCGGUGAGGUCAAGGACUCAAAUGAUGGCAUGUGAAUGGUGGGCCAUGUAGGGGAGUGAUUGUAAGUUUUUACAGUGGUUGGUUGUCCGUGUGCUCGCACAAGCGGUGUCCUCCUCACCUUAUGAAAGGAAUUGGAGCACAUUCUCCCUCAUUCAUACAAAUAAGCGCAAC